AUUGAACGCUGGCGGUAUGCUUAACACAUGCAAGUCGAACGGUAGCAGCUCUUCGGAGGCUGACGAGUGGCGGACGGGUGAGUAACGCGUAGGAAUCUGCCUAUUAGUGGGGGACAACGUGUGGAAACGCACGCUAAUACCGCAUACGCCCUACGGGGGAAAGCGGGGGAUCUUCGGACCUCGCGCUAUGAGAUGAGCCUGCGUUAGAUUAGCUAGUUGGUAGGGUAAAGGCCUACCAAGGCGACGAUCUAUAGCUGGUCUGAGAGGACGAUCAGCCACACUGGGACUGAGACACGGCCCAGACUCCUACGGGUGGCUG
RNAcentral lists this ribosomal RNA (319 nucleotides) under uncultured Pseudomonadota bacterium. RNAcentral's name for it is "bacterial SSU rRNA". It matches the Rfam family "Bacterial small subunit ribosomal RNA", at positions 30 to 351 of the family's 1533-position model. The record is from RNAcentral. Lineage: Bacteria; Pseudomonadati; Pseudomonadota.